GAAUUUUGGCCAAUGGGGGCAACCCUGAUCCAGCCAUCCCGCGUGUGCGAUGAAGGCCUCCGGGUUGUAAAGCACUUUUGGCAGGGAAGAAAAGGCUCUGGCUACUACCUGGAGCUGCUGACGGUACCUGCAGAACAAGCCCCGGCUACAUACGCCCCAGCAGCCGCGGGAACACGGAGGGUGCAAGCGUUAAUCGGAAUUGCGGGGCGUAAAGCGUGCGCAGGCGGUUCGACAAGAAGGAUGUGAAAUCCCAGGGCUUCACCUUGGAUCUGCAUUCUUAACUGCCGGGCUAGAGUAUGUCAGAGUGGGGUAGAAUUCCGCGUGUAGCGGUGAAAUGCGUAGAGAUGCGGAGGAAUACCGAUGGCAGAGGCAGCCCCCUGUGAUAAUACUGACGCUCAUGCACGAAAGCGUGGGGAGCAAAC
RNAcentral lists this ribosomal RNA (422 nucleotides) under uncultured bacterium. RNAcentral describes it as "partial 16S ribosomal RNA". It matches the Rfam family "Bacterial small subunit ribosomal RNA", at positions 359 to 773 of the family's 1533-position model. The record is from RNAcentral.